CGGACAGAUGGGAGCUUGCUCCCUGAUGUUAGCGGCGGACGGGUGAGUAACACGUGGGUAACCUGCCUGUAAGACUGGGAUAACUCCGGGAAACCGGGGCUAAUACCGGAUGCUUGUUUGAACCGCAUGGUUCAAACAUAAAAGGUGGCUUCGGCUACCACUUACAGAUGGACCCGCGGCGCAUUAGCUAGUUGGUGAGGUAAUGGCUCACCAAGGCAACGAUGCGUAGCCGACCUGAGAGGGUGAUCGGCCACACUGGGACUGAGACACGGCCCAGACUCCUACGGGAGGCAGCAGUAGGGAAUCUUCCGCAAUGGACGAAAGUCUGACGGAGCAACGCCGCGUGAGUGAUGAAGGUUUUCGGAUCGUAAAGCUCUGUUGUUAGGGAAGAACAAGUACCGUUCGAAUAGGGCGGUACCUUGACGGUACCUAACCAGAAAGCCACGGCUAACUACGUGCCAGCAGCCGCGGUAAUACGUAGGUGGCAAGCGUUGUCCGGAAUUAUUGGGCGUAAAGGGCUCGCAGGCGGUUUCUUAAGUCUGAUGUGAAAGCCCCCGGCUCAACCGGGGAGGGUCAUUGGAAACUGGGGAACUUGAGUGC
This 600-nucleotide ribosomal RNA is filed under the name Bacillus sp. (in: firmicutes). RNAcentral's name for it is "bacterial SSU rRNA". It matches the Rfam family "Bacterial small subunit ribosomal RNA", at positions 67 to 649 of the family's 1533-position model. Lineage: Bacteria; Bacillati; Bacillota; Bacilli; Caryophanales; Bacillaceae. The record is from RNAcentral.